AUACGUAGGGGGCAAGCGUUAUCCGGAUUUACUGGGUGUAAAGGGAGCGUAGACGGCAUGGCAAGUCUGAUGUGAAAACCCGGGGCUCAACCCCGGGAUUGCAUUGGAACCUGUCAAGCUAGAGUGCAGGAGAGGUAAGUGGAAUUCCUAGUGUAGCGGUGAAAUGCGUAGAUAUUAGGAGGAACACCAGUGGCGAAGGCGGCUUACUGGACGAUAACUGACGCUGAGACACGAAAGCGUGGGGAGCAAACAGGAUUAGAUACCCUGGUAGUCCACGCCCUAAACGAUGAAUGCUAGGUGUAGGGGAGUCAUCUUCUGUGCCGCAGCUAACGCAAUAAGCAUUCCACCUGGGGAGUACGGCCGCAAGGUUGAAACUCAAAUGAAUUGACGGGG
This 393-nucleotide ribosomal RNA is filed under the name uncultured bacterium. RNAcentral describes it as "partial 16S ribosomal RNA". It matches the Rfam family "Bacterial small subunit ribosomal RNA", at positions 523 to 918 of the family's 1533-position model. The record is from RNAcentral.